Non-coding RNA from Monosiga brevicollis MX1, 45 nucleotides. The record is from Rfam. Lineage: Eukaryota; Choanoflagellata; Craspedida; Salpingoecidae.
AAACAGGUGUUUCUAAACACCACAAACUCCCAACAUCAUCUCGUG